RNAcentral lists this long non-coding RNA (10343 nucleotides) under Homo sapiens (human). RNAcentral's name for it is "non-protein coding SP2-AS1:26". Lineage: Eukaryota; Metazoa; Chordata; Mammalia; Primates; Hominidae. The record is from RNAcentral.
AGUCUCGCCCAGGUGUGGCAGGAGCUUUUACCUGCUCUUCGGCAGUAGCCGGCUGCCACUCAACCCCAUGCCUGACUGAGCUGUGGUAGAAGGAUUGAGGCCAGCACAGAGGAGGAUCAGCAGGAAAUGUAAGGGUUGUCCUCAUCUAAUCCGUCAGUACCAGACAGUGAACAUCUCUCCCCCAGGAUGCUGAGGGAGGGUCCUGGAGGGAAGGAUGUGGAACUACAGCCUCUGCUCUCAAGAAGCUCAGAUCUGGGCAGGGAACAUCACAUACCAGGGCUGUCUGUCGGGGGGGUGGAGGGCUGGGGGAGGGAUAGCAUUAGGGGAAAUACCUAAUGUAAAUGACAAGUUGAUGGGUGCAGCAAACCAACAUGGCACAUGUAUACCUAUGUAACAAAUCUGCAUGUUGUGCACGUGUACCCUAGAACUUAAAGUAUAAUUAAAAAAAAAAAAAGCUUCAGAUCCCUCCUGGAGCCUCCUAUGAAACCACGUGGCAUAACUGGUGCUGUUGGUCCAGAAACUAGAAGAAUAUCAGGCCAGCCCCCUUGACUCUCUGUUGGUCCUCACUCAUAGCUACAACCCAAGCUUUAUUGUUGGUGUUUACCUUUGAAGAGUUACAGCCGACCCAGCCUUCUAAAGACUGCUUGUUUUGCCUUAAGGAUUUCCCAGUAACCUCUGCUUCUCCCCUUUUCCCCUCCUAUGAUUUUCUAUUUUCUCAUCUCUUCCCUUUCUACUUAUGGGGAAAUCAAAAUUGCAGACUUCUUCUUUUUUUUUUUUUUUUUUGAGGUAGUGUCUUGCUCUGUCGCCCAGGCUGGAGUACAAUGAUGCGAUCUCGGCUCACUGCAACCUCCGCCUCCCAGGUUCAACCAAUUCUCUUGCCUCAGCCUCCUGAGUAGCUGGGUUUACAGGUGCGCAUCACCAAGCCCAGCUAAUUUUUGUAUUUUUAGUAGAGGCAGGGUUUCACCAUUUUCGCCAGGCUUGUCUCGAACUCCUGACCUCAGGUGAUCCACCCGCCUCGACCUCCCAAAGUGCUGGGAUUAGAGGCGUGAGCGACUUCUCCCGGCCCAGAGUUGCAGACUUCUAACCCGGACUCUCUCAUAUGCAGACCCACAAAAAUAUCUGAUGGGACAAACACCUAGCUUGGAUGAAUUUGGGUAAUUUUUUUUUUCCUCCUAGGGUCCAUCAAUGAUUUCAGGGAUCUAGGUUUCCUCAGUCUUCUGUGAACAUGAAACAUUGACAGAGGCUAUAAGAUGUAUCUCCCUGUUACACCACACCCCUGGUGCACACAUACAGACACAUCUCUGUCUUCACUGCCGGGGAUGCCACUCCUGACCCCUGCCCUAACUCGUCAACUUCCUCUGCCCCUGGUUCCCCUGUCCAGGCCGAUGGCUCCCCACCAACUGCCAUGGAAUCUUCCAGCAAGGACAUUCCACUCAUCCUUCCCCACAGGGUUCUUCCUUCUUUGCUCCUUCUUUCUACCCCCAGUCUCCCUGGGGUGGGAUCUGUGGAGCCUCAGGAAGAAAGGGCAGGGCCCCAGGUAAAAGGAGCCCUUUAAGGUGGAAGGCAGGGGUGCCUCCUCAGCCUUUGUGUGUCACCACCAGGGGGCGCCCAAGGCAUUUCCAAAGCAGCUGCCCAGCGUUCACCUUACAGUAACACAGGGCGGACAGGGAGAUGCAGUUUAACAAGCAGCUAUUGAGUGCCUGCUAUUCCCCAGGAAUGGGGCCUGCUUCAUUCGGAGACUGAGAGUGGGUUCCAGCCUCUACAAAGAGACUCCUUAAAAAGAGCCAUUUGGGCCCGGGUGCAGUGGCUUACCCCUGUAAUCCCAGCAAUUUGAGAGGCCAAGGUGGGUGGAUCACCUGAGGUCAGGAAUUCAAGACCGGCCUGGCCAACAUGGCGAUACCCCAUCUCUGCUAAAAAUACAAAAAUUAGCCAGUCGUGGUGGUGCAUGCCUGUAGUCCCAGCUACUUGGGAGGCUGAGGUAGGAGAAUCGCUUGAAUCUGGGAGGCGGAGGUUGCAGUGAGCCAAGAUCUUGCCACUGCACUCCAGCCUGGGCGACAGAGUGGGACUUCAUCUCAAAAAAAAAAAAAAAAAAGACAAAACAACAAAAAAAAAGCCAUUUGGGCCGGGCAUGGUGGCUCAUGCCUGUAAUCCCAGUACUUGGGGAGGCCUAGGGCAGGAGGAUUGCUUCUUGAGCCCAGGAGUUAGAGACUAGCCUGGACAACUUAAGGAGACCCCCAUCUCUACAAAAAAAUUUAAAAAUUAGCCAGGCUUGGUGGCUCUCAACUGUAGUCCCAGCUACUUGGGAGGCUGAGGCAGGAGGAUCCCUUGAGCCUAGGAAUUUGAGGCUGUAGUGAGCUGUGUUUGCGACACUGCACUCUGCCCUGGGUGACAAAGCAAAACCCUGUCUCCCUGUCUGAAAACAAAAACAAACAAACACACACAUUUGCCUCUUCAAGGAAUUGGUUUCCUACCAACCAGCUCCUCUUACCUCCCCGGGUAGCAGCAUCUUCUCUCUGCCUCUGCCCCUCCCCUGCACUCCCCUGCUCCCCACCUUUCCCGACCCCAUUGACCACAGCUCCAUGUGGUGCCCAGUCUGCUUCUCGUAAGUCCCAGCUGCCCACUGCAGACUAGAAUUGUCCCCAGGGACAAAGGGAGGCUGAGAAUGUCCCUGGCGAGGCACUGCCCUCUCUCCCUCUGCCCGUCUCCCUCCUAGGCCCUCACUUAUGUCAAAACCACAUCUCAGUCCCAUUGCUAGUCUCCUGAGGGUUCCCCAGAGACCCUGAGUGUGGAGGGUGUGGGUUCAGAAGGACCAGGGCUGGGCUCAGGAGCAGCACUUGUCACCUGAAAGCACUGACCUGGCUGGGAGAGACUCGGGAAGUGGGCCAUGGGGGCGAUAACAAUAACAAUAAUCAUAUUAAUAAUAACACUGGGGCCCACAAAAUGGCUGUGAAAUGCCCGCUAAUGAUCCCUUAUAUUUAUAGAUCUCCUUCUCCUAGACACUUCAGAGCCAUUGCCCAAUUAACCCCCCUAGAUUCCCUAGAAGGGACAAUUAACCCCAUAUUUUAUGGCUGGGGAAACCUAGGCUCUGAGAAUGUGAUGGAGUUGGCUGAGGUCGUCCAGUCCAUUAGUGACAGCAGAAUUUGUGGAGCAGCCCUCUCUCGUUCCUUUUGUCUACAUCCACAUGCACUUAUGCUGGGCGUGGUGACUCAUGCCUGCAGUCCCACCAGCACUUUGGGAGGCUGAGGCGGGCGGAUGGCUCGAGCUCAGGAGUUUGAGACCAGCCUGGGCAAUAUGGUGAGACACUGUCUCUACUAAAAAUACAAAAAAAAAUUAGCUGGGCAUGGUGGUGCAUGCCUGUGUUCCCAGUUACUCAGGAGGCUAAGGUGGGAAGAUCACUUGAGCCUGGGGGGCAGAAGUUGCAGUGAGCUGAGAUCGAACCACUGCACUCCAGCCUGGGAGAGAGAGCAAGAUCCUGUCUCAAAGAAAACAAAUGGCUGGGCCCAGUGGCUCAUACCUGUAAUCCCAGCACUUUGGGAGGCCAAGGUGGGCGGAUCACCUGAGGUCAGGAGUUUGAGACCAGCCUGGACAACAUGAUAAAACCCCGCCUCUACUAAAAAUGCUACUAAAUCUCUACCAUAAAUAAAGAAAAAUGUUUUCUUUUUCUUUUUUUUUUUCUUUUUGAGAUGGAGUCUUGCUCUGUCACCCAGGCUGGAGUGCAGUGGCACCAUCUUGGCUCACUGCAACCUCUGCCUCCCAGGUUCAAGCAAUUAUCCUACCUCAGCCUCCUGAGUAGCUGGGAUUACAGUCAUGCGCCACCAUGCCAGACUAAUUUUUGGUAUUUUUAGUAGAGACGGAGUUUCUCCGUAUUGGUCAGGCUGGUCUCGAACUCGCGACCUCAGGUGAUCUGCCGGCCUCGGCCUUCCAAAGUGCUGGGAUUACAGGCGUGAGCCCCUGCGCCCAGCCCCAAGAAGGUGCUUUUUUCAUUUUUUUCUUUUUUUUUUUUGAGAUGGAGUUUUGCUUUUAUCAUCCAGGCUGGAGUACAGUGGCACGAUCUCGGCUCACGGCAACCUCUGCCUCCCGGGUUCAAGCGAUUCUUCUGUCUCAGCCUCCUGAGUAGCUGGGAUUACAAGCGUCCGCCACCACGCCCAGCUAAUUUUUGUAUUUUUAGUAGAGAUGGGGUUUCACCAUGUUGGCUAGGCUGGUCUCAAACUCCUGACUUCAGGUGAUCCACCUACCUCGGCCUCCCAAAGUGCUGGGAUUACAGGUGUGAGCCACCUCGCUCCGCCAAAGGUGCUUUUUGCUAAUCUGAACUCGGGCAUGUAAAGUGGGAAUAUGCUCUGUUUGAAGCAGGAGGGAGUAAAGUUACCUAAUCUAAGAACUUCCUUGUUAUAUAAGGUUAUGCAGCCUAGGCAACGUAGCCAGAUGCCCCAUUUCUACAAAAAAAAAAAAAAGUAAAAAUUAGCUGGGUGGGUCGGGCGCGAUGGCUCACAACUGCAAUCCCAGCACUUUGGGAGGCCAAGGCAGGUGGAUCACGAAGUCAGGAGUUCGAGACCAGCCUGACCAACAUGAUGAAACCCUGUCUUUACUAAAAAUACAAAAGUUUGCCAGGUGUGGUGUCAUGUGCCUGUAAUCCCAGCUACUCAGGAGGCUGAGGCAGGAUAAUUGCUUGAACCUGGGAGGCGAAGGUUGCAGUGAGCCGAGAUCACACCACUGCACUCUAGCCUGGGUGACAGAGCAGUGAGACUCCUGGAAAAAAAAAAAUUUAGCUGGGUGUGGUGGCAUGAGUCUGUCGUUCCAGCUACUUGGGAGGCUGAGGUGGGAGGAUCACUUGAGCUCAGGGGGUCGAGGUCACAGCAAGCACUGAUGGCUUCACUGCACUCCAGCCUGGGUGACAGAAUGAGACCCUGUCUCAAAAAUAAUAAUAAAAUUUAAAAACAGGCCAGGAGUGGUGGCUCACGCUUGUAAUCCCAGCACUUUGGGAGGCUGAGAAUGGCGGCUCACCUAAGGUCAGGAAUUCGAGACCAGCCUGGCUAACAUGGUGAAACCCCAUCUGUACUAAAAUUACAAAAAUUAACUGGGCAUAGUGGUGAGUGCCUGUAAUCCCAGCUACUUGGGAGGCUGAGGCAGGAGAAUCGCUUGAACCUGGGAGGUGGAGGUUGCAGUGAGCCGAGACUGUGCCACUGAACUCCAGCCUGGGCGACAAGAGUGAAACUCCGUCUGAAAAUAAAAAUAAAAAUUAAAUUAAAAUAAAAUAAAAUAAAAAGGUUGAGCGGGUGUCUUAUGCCUAUAAUCCCAGCACUUUGGGAGGCCGAGGCAGGCGGAUCACGAGGUCAGGAGAUCAAGACCAUCCUGACUAACACAGUGUAACCCCGUCUCUACUAAAAAUACAAAAAAUUAGCUGGGCGUCGUGGUACGCACCUGUAGUCCCAGCUACUCCGGAGGCUGAAGCAAGAGAAUCGCUUGAACCCAGGAGGCGGAGGUUACAGUCAGCGGAGAUUGCGCCAUUGCACUCCAGCCUGGUCGACAGAGCGAGACUCAGUCUCAAAAAUAAAUAAAUAAAGUGAUGCACUGGAGCAGGUGACCAAUGGGGCAGUGAGGCAAUGGGGACAAUAUGAACACAGGCCUGGAGAGAAGUUUCUGAAAGGCUUGGAUGCUGGGGUGUGAGGGGGUUCUGCGUGGGUGGGUCCCUGCAUUGAAUGAGCCGCCGUGCACACCAAGGUAACCAUAGACUUGCCUGCCUUUUUCAAGCAGCUGGUUCUUCUCGCAGGGCCCCACCCACCAGCUCCACUCCUGACUCUUCUUCUCCACUCCCACUCUGGCCUCUGACCCAUGCAGCCUGGGCCUGAGAUGGUCCCUCCCCAAGCUCCUGGUUUCACCUCUGAAACUCCAAGGCUCCACAUUGCUGAGAUUUUACUAUGGCUCCCAGCUGGGUCCCACCUUUGAUCUGGCUUCAAAAAAUAAAAAGCAGUACCAGGAGAGUAAUUUUCCCGACCUGCUCGGGAGGAAGGCAGGCUGGAGGCAGGUCCUGACCAGCCCGGCCCACUCCUGGAGCCUGGAGUCAGAAGCUAGUGGCAGAGGGGGCAGGGGACAGGGGAGCAAAGCCACCUUUCCUCAUUAACUUCCUCCCCUUCCUUUCUGGGGCACUGACCUGUCUCUUCCUUCCCUUCCCAGCCUGCCAAUCAGCAGGGAAAAGGAUGAUACAGCUGCUUCCCCCACACCCCUCCUGAGGCUCUCCCCACUCAACCUCUUGCCUCUUGGGCAGCAGUGCCUCAGUCCUCUCUCCACACUGUUCCCCUGGCCUGUCCCUGGGGGGUGGGGACCGAGCACUCAGGGUGGGGCCUGGUAAGGGACAAGUCUGUGCCCCCUGGCUGAGCACCUGAGACAUUACUCAGUUGGCUGUCUCAGCGCCAGCUCUGGUCUUGAGGGACUGGACUGAGGGGUGGGAAGGGGAAGGUCCAGCUUUUUAUGGGCCUUCCUGCCCACCCCUCUCCGUGGUGCUGCAAGCCCUGGCCCAGGAUUUCCGUCUUUCAGCAGCAGCACCUGCCCCUCCCAGUUCAAAGGCUCUGGCUCCUCACCUGUUCUCAGGGUGCUUGCCUGGUCCUUUUAAGUGGUUAGCAAUGCACCCCACCCCCACCCUGCUGAGGGUCUGGGCUUCUCCGUGCAGGUGGGGGACCAAGGUGAUGGGGCACAGAGUCCAGAAGCGGCAGAAACACCCUUCAACCAGAUGAGCUGUCCCCAGUAGGCACAGGGCUACCGCCCUUCCUUUCGGUGGGUAGGGAAGGAGCUGGGGUCUGGCCCUAGAGAAAACUGGCAGCUGGGUUUGGUGGAGCAAGGGCAGAGGGCAUGGGGCUGGGGCCGGGCACUUUCCAUUUGAGAAAUUCCUGUCUCAGCUUUUUAGCUCAUUGACUGAGAUGAGAGAUGGCUGCUAAGCACAAGGGACGUUCUGUUUUUCCGUCUUUAUUUUCCUAUCCUUGUACCCCGUCAGGUAAGACUCCUACCCACAUGCACAUUGUGAAAGCAUUCCCUAAAUAUUGGAGCUGGCAGAACCCACUCACUGCCCCCUUCCAGGCCCCUGGGCUUGUCAGGGGUUCUGGCCACUGCUGUGCAUUCCUUGUCUGGGCAAAGGAACAGUGAAAGCCCGAGCCCCACUUUCUCCAGGGGGAGGCCCCUUCUGGAAGUUGCCCCACCUCCACUCUCCCCUCGCCUUGCCCUAGGCACCUCUCCCUGACCUGGGGGCAGAGAGGAGAGCUCGGGGAGGGGGAGGAAGUUGGGAGCCACCUCGUCUCCAGGUGGGGCGGGGUCCCAGCAGCGAUAACCAUCUUCUUGGCAGCUCCAACCUGUUCUAUUGGUAUUUUUUUUUUUCCUAGAGGAGAAAGGUGAAGGCCUUGGCGGGGAGUUAUUCUGGCUCUGAAGUGUCCUUGCAGCUCCCCAGGCCCCUGCAGGCCUUGUGCAAGAGCUGUAAAUCUCUCACCACCCACAGGCCUGGGGGGGCCUGCCGCUGGGACUUUCAUGUCCGGAGAUUUUAUGCCUUUGCUCCUCUGUUGGGCUCCAUAGCUCCUGCCUGGGGCCUCUCCCUAGCCUGUAAAAAUCCAGUCCCAUAAAUCUCUGCUGCCCCCCAGGAGCCAAGCAGAGUUCUUCCCACUCCAACUCCCACUCAUAAGCAUCUCUCCCCUCAAGAGACCACAGUGAAGUGGCAAGGUCGAAGCAAAAGGUUUCCAAGAAGGGCAGCAGCUAAAUGGGGGUCUUCCUGGGACCUCCUCCGGCAUCAGUCUCUGCUUGGGUGGGAUUGGACUCUGUAACUGAAUGGUCUGUUUCCAGCUUCAAUGCUGGAGGGGCUUCUGGGGGUCUCUGGUGGGGAGGCCCUUGGCCUCCACUGCCUAUUAGUAUCCACCUGAGCCUCCCGAGACAGGUGGCUGUCUGUCUGCCAAGCCCCCAGGUGCAUUGGAGGUGGCAGGCAGCCCAGUGACUAUGCUGCUUUCCUGGAUCAAAAUGGGAAACCCAAGGAAAGGGAAAGGCAUAACAGUGGCUGAGGCCUGGAGGCUCAUGGAUGGACUGCACGGUCCAGUGGAUUCUGGGGUAAAACACAGUGCUUAACUUCUUAGUCUGAUGGGGGAGACUGUGCACUCGUCCAGGACCUGGGCAUUGAGAAAGGGGCCAGAUUGCCGGCACUGGGUAGGACUCAGGGCAGGGAUGAUACUGUGCCUGGGAACGUCCCAUUAGAGAAGAGGAGCACCAGACUGGCUUGGGAAGGAGGAAGAGGCGAGAGCUGCAAAGGGAGCAGGGUGUCCCCAGCAGAAAGAACAGUUUGUUCACAGGUUCCUAGGAGAGAGGAUGUGACCUGGGUGGGGGGACGCCAGCAUGUUUGCCAGGAAGGUGAGGAGCCUGGCUCCACCCUUCCUGGAAAGACAUGAGAAGGAGAGAGUGGCCUUCAUGCUGAAGGUGGGGAGAGGUAAGGUGGGCGGUGGGAGGGAGAGCUCUAUGGUGGAAGGGCUUGAGUGGGAUGCAGCUGCUCAGGAGAGAACCCAGGCCAAACUCUCACUGACCCUCCUGGCCUACUGGGAUCUCACUGCCAGAUGAGCAGACAUUGGGAAGCCCAGGAUCUCUGUUCAAAAGUCAUCUCACUCACCCACCCGCAUCCCCGCCAUGUCCAGAUUCUGACUUGCAUCCCAUCUCCCCAUGCCCACUGCCAGGCUGAGCUACUGCUCAUGGCUACCAUUUAUUGAGUACCUACUGCAUGCCAGGCACUGCUCCAAGCUCUUUACAUGCGUUGACUCAUUCAAGCCCAUUUUCCCUAUGAGAUAGGUCCUAUAAUCAGCCCCACUUUGCAGAUGAGAAAACUGAGGCAUAGUGAGCUUAAGUAACUUGCUCAAGAUCACACCACUGGCUUCACAGUCAGGAUUCCAGCCAGGCACCUGGCUCUAGAGCCCAUGUCUCCACCUCUGCCCUCUGCUACAGAAGAGGCUUCACCACCAAGGCCCGGGGAAAGGGUGUCCUCUGUGCCUCCUCCCAACUCCUUCAGAGGCCAGUGGGGUUGGCCCUGGACAUUUGGAGAGAAGCCUGCCAGUUAUCCUCUUUCCACAGGGAGGGGGCAGUUGUAGCCUAACGUUCUGGUGCUUUCUAGGGGUCCUCUGCCUUUUGGGGUAUGCUCACCUCAAAGGCAGCAUCAGGGACAAGCUCCUGAUUCCCACGGGGUGCCCUGCUUCCGCUAGUGCCCAGCAACCAUGGGGAAACUGGGCAAUAGCAAAAGUGAAACUGACUCAGCCGGUUUCCCACCCCUGCCAAGGGAAAUGGGGAGCAGCCUCGGCUGGACAACAACCAAUUAGGCACUUUUUAUUGCCCACGCUGUCAUAAUCCUCAGAGCUUGGCUACGAUGAAGGAGAGGAAAUAGGAUAGGAUGGAAUUCCAAGAUGCCUUUAGAGUUCAUCCCAGCCAUUCCCCUGCUUCUAGAUGGGAAAGUUCAAAUACCAUCCACAAGAACUUUCCUCCAAGUGAGGCCCUUAGCCCUGGAAGUCAAUAGGCCUUUGCAUCUAUUGCAUCUAACAAGAAUCAUUCAACCUCAUAGAGGGGUUUUCUCCUGUCCUUUGCUCCAGCGACUCAGGGAAGACGAAUCUUAUUUGUGUUUUUUCCCAGGACACGGUGGGUGGGGAGCUAGGCUCAUGCAGUCGUGAAGACCUCUGGUACCACCUGGAUGGUGGCAUUAGGGAUCAGGGAACUACUGAUUUUUCAAGUGCAAUCUGACUCCUCUCUCAGACUAGCAAUUCCCAGAGGACAGAGGUCUUGUCUCCUCCCUCAGACUGAAAGCUCCUGGAGAAACUGCCUUCCCUCACUUCCCUCUCUUGUCCCCUGCCCCUUCUCUCAGUUGCCCAGGGCAGAGCUUUGUCCACAGAGGGCCACUCCUGCUGUGCAUAGAACCUUGACUGUGUCGGUGACUCAGAGGGGGUUACAAUCUGAUUGGGAAGUGCUACCGUGGUCUGUCGGUGCCUCCAUUUCCUCUUGUGUAGAAUGGAGUUGUAAUGAAGAUUAAUUUUUUUUUUUUUUUGAGACGGAGUCUCGCCCUGUUGCCCAGGCUGAAGUGCAGUGGUGCGAUCUCGGCUCACUGCAAGCUCCACCUCCCGGGUUCACGCCAUUCUCCUGCCUCAGCCUCCCGAGUAGCUGGGACUACAGGCGCCCGCCACCACGCCCGGCUAAUUUUUUGUAUUUUUAGUAGAGACUGGGUUUCACCAUGAUAGCCAGGAUGGUCUUGAUCUCCUGACCUCGUGAUUCGCCUGCCUCAGCCUCCCAAAGUGCUGGGAUUACAGGUGUGAGCCACCACGCCCAGCCAUGAAGAUUAAAUUUUUAAAAAG